Molecule: long non-coding RNA, 441 nt
Organism: Cavia porcellus (domestic guinea pig)
Lineage: Eukaryota; Metazoa; Chordata; Mammalia; Rodentia; Caviidae
Exons: 3
Source: RefSeq, a predicted model, not a curated record
GUCAGUCAUGAGACACCACUGUCGUCUCAGCAGGAACCCGAGUCAGCAGGGUCCUCCCGGGAACACUGGUGUAGGUGGGACCAGUCCUCCCCAGGAAUAAAUGGCAAGGAGAUGCCAUGGUGGUGGGGCGUGGAGAACUUCAGAAAGCUUGAAACAGAACAACAACUCACACCACGCUUGGGAGAGGAGCCCCUGGAAGCAUAUUCCUAAGAGAGAGUUCAAGAGGGCCUCUACUAAGCCUGCACCAUGAAAUUAGUAUUCCUUCUCAUCUUAGUUGUCUUCUUUAUCUCCCAAACCAUGCCAGGUUGUGGGGAAGGACUUCAUGGAACGACUUAUCACUGUGACACACUUUUCAGCGUAUGUCUGCGGAGGAAAGAAAAUUGUAUUCUUCGCAUGCCAGGCGUUUGCCCUGGAAGAAGCUUCUGCUGUUUGAGAACAUGG